This 69-nucleotide transfer RNA is filed under the name Ensifer meliloti. Its description in RNAcentral is "Sinorhizobium meliloti tRNA-Lys". The record is from RNAcentral. Lineage: Bacteria; Pseudomonadati; Pseudomonadota; Alphaproteobacteria; Hyphomicrobiales; Rhizobiaceae.
GGCUGUUUAGGGAAAAAUAGCUUACUCUUAAUCAGCGGGUCCACGGUUCGAGCCCGUGAUCACCCACCA